This is a long non-coding RNA of Passer domesticus (house sparrow), 3150 nucleotides long. RefSeq lists it as uncharacterized. NCBI's taxonomy places the organism in Eukaryota, Metazoa, Chordata, Aves, Passeriformes, Passeridae. The transcript has 3 exons. The record is from RefSeq and is a predicted model, not a curated record.
CAUGCUGCCCUCUCCCCACACAGUGGUUCUGUCACCCCUCUUCUGCCAUCCCCUAUGUCACUCUUUGGUGUCACCCAUUGCAAAGCUGUCCAGGCAUUCUGUAGAGUCAGGAGGGUGUUUAUUUUCACUAAAGAUGUAUAAAAUGUAACCAAAAAAUUAUAAAAUGCCGCCAUGUUCUUUGUGGUGGGCAUUGCUAUUACCUCCUUGUCUGCUUUUUUGUCAGCAUUCCAGAUGCUGAGUGCCUGCUCCCCUAAGCCAUGGUAUGGAUUGAAUUCAGCCACCUAGGCAUCCACAAGUCACAUUUUCAUUAGUGAACUCAACACAGAGCCACAGUCUGAUUGUACUGUUAAAAUGUUGGUAUGGCCCUGUCAGACACCCCGCCACAGCCCUGCCUGGCGGGACCGAGGGCCAGUGGGUGCUCAAAAGCAGAGACAUGGGCGCUGUUUUAGGAGAUUGUGUGGGGAAAGAUAGGAGAUUUCAGUGGUGUGAGUUGUAAGCUGUGCUGAGCAGGCAGCCCCAGGAGGCUCCUGGUGUGUUGCCAUGUCCACAUGAGCACUGCCAACUCUGCCACACGACGCCAUUUCUCUCAGGCUCUCCCGAUGACCACAGCUGUCUGUGAGGGGAGUGCCAGGAGAUCACAGGAACUGUGUCACUGUGACCAGAAGAGAAAGGGAGGAAAAGGACAAUGAAGACAAAACAUUCAAAGAAAACCUCAGCUCAAAUUUGAUUUUGAGUAGAGCAAAAUGUUAUGAGAAGUUGUACGGUAGGGAACUGUACGAGGAUGUGGAAGUGCCAGAUUGUACCCAUGCCUCUGCUGACAUUUUAGGAUGGCUGCAACAAAAACACUCUGACACCACCACAGUGUACCACACGCCAGGGAAGCUUUGGAGGCUCCUUGAAAUUCACGACAAAUGUAAAUACUGGCUGUUAAGUGACUAACUCUUAACAUUCCUGCCUACAGCUGAUGCUUGCUCCUGCAGUGAAUUAGAGGUAUACUUACACAGGAGAAAUUUUCUGCUCACAAAAAUAAGUGCUGGUUGAAAGUCAAUGAGUUAAUAUUUUGACAAACGAGGGUUUUAUUUUUACACAUGCCUUGAUGAAAACAAGGUGAAUAUUCCAUUCUUGAAGGACUACAUUUUGUUUCAGAAACUAGUUAUUACUCUUGCUUUAUUUUUAUGUUCAUGAUCUGAAAUACUUCAGACUUACUGCCCCAGGAUGAAUUGAAGUUUCGGUUCAGAUCUGUGCCGUAGCAGGUGCCAUUCUCAUAUGGAGAACGGCUUUUCCUCCACAAACGAUCCUGAAGAAAAGUAACUUCUGUUACGUAAUAAAAACUCAUUGAUCCAUAUGGCCCAGUGAUUAUAUGGUGUAAAUACCCCUUUCUUUUGACCUCUGCAUUCUAACUAACCCUGGUAUUGUAAGAGUACAACUCCAUGUGCAAGGGUGAUAAAGCUCAGCGGCAGAACAAUUCAUCUACUACAGCCAGUCUGUCAUCAGCCACAAACCUGUGUUCACUCUGAAAUAAGCCUCCUGAACUUUUUUUUUUUUAAGUAUGCUUUUUCUGUAGUACUGCUUCUGUGCAGUGUAGUACUCCUAAGCAAGGCAUUAUGAGUCAUAAGAGAUGAUAGCAUGUUUCAGAUUCAGAAAGAUUAAUUAUUUUUUGUCAGUUAAUCUUGCUACUGUCCCCUGGUUCCCUGCUAUACUCACAGCUACACAGGUUCUGUGCAGACCUCACUGCACUACCUGCAUGAGCUUCCCAGAUGAACUACUGUGCAUCCAAGUGCAGCAUUUGGUAUGCCCCACACCUGCUGGGAAGCAAGGUGGGAGACAGCCCAAUCCACAGAGUGGUAGCCAUGGGCCAUCCAAAGGUCCUGCAUUAAAAGGUGCUUCAACUAGGCACAGGGGCCUAAAAGCAUGGUGAGAGUGGCUGAAGGCCAACAUUUUGCAUUACUGUCUAUAUCAGAAAAGGAAGAUUAUUUGGGAGGGCACACCUCUUCCAUAACCAAAUAGCCUGAUAUUUGACCAAUUCUCCUCCUGUGCUGUGCAAAGGUUCUAAGACACAUCUGCUACUUGACAUCCUUUAUGAAUGGAUAACUCUUCCAGACGUACUUAAGUCCAUCAACCAAGCCUUGAGCUGUUAUCAAAGAAGUAAUCCUAUCCCCAGAUAGGAAACCAAUUGAUCUUGUGGGUUUGUCUUCCCAAGUCUCAUUUGCUAGCAAUAUUUAGAUAAUUUCAAGUGAUCACUGAUUUUUCACAGAAGAAACAAAAUCUCUCUGCCAUGAAAGGAUUUAUGAGAAUAUCACUGUUUUCUGUUUAAGUAUAAUUGCUAUGACGCUAUCUAAAAGUAACAAAACAUGCUGGGCACAUCUAACUUUCAGUCUAGUUCCUGGAUUUUCACUACUUACUGUUUCCCAGGAAUAGAUGUAGCCAUCAAUAUUGAGGACUGGCAAGACAUAGAGGUCCAAAUUCUGCAGAAAUCUGCUUAUCUUUGGGUCAGUUUUGUAAUUUUGAAGAAUCUGAAAAGAAAACAUACAGAGCACUGAGCAGAGAAUUUGGUGGUAAUCACUGCAAAGAGUGAGUUUAGAACUAUCAUCCAGUGAUUACUCACUCCUGGACAUCACCAUGGUACCCAACACCUACUUGAUCCCCAGUGUGCCAGGUACUUUUUCUAUACACAUGGAACAUUGCUAUAUCAUAGAUUAGGGGUUAUGUUAUAUCAUAGAUUAAGGAUUUAUUUCAGGAGGAUUGUGGCUUUUUGGUAGAGAGAGGCUUGAUCUAACAGCCUUUGUGAGAAAAGGUGAUGUUGAUACCAAGUUUUGGAAAGCUUUAGAAACAUUCAGCUGGAGGAACUGGCACACUAAUUAAUAUUGUCCCAUAUCUCAAACCGUGCUUUGGACUUUGUUCUCCACAGAUAUCUGUACUAUACACUAAUUUUGCAAAUCAUAUUUUAAGAGAAAAGCAUAAUACUUGGUACCAAAAUAGAAAAGAUAACGGAAGCAUCCAAAUUGAUAUGGUUUGCUUUUUAUCUAAAUGAAAGAGUAAGGACUCACUUCUUUCACAAACCACUGACAGAAGGCUGGAGAGAUCCAUUCUCUGGCAUGAAUCCCACAGUCCAUCCAAAUUAUCUUUUUGGUUUUAUCUGAUGGUUGGCUG